RNAcentral lists this transfer RNA (76 nucleotides) under Parcubacteria group bacterium RIFCSPHIGHO2_01_FULL_56_18. RNAcentral's name for it is "tRNA-Ile". It matches the Rfam family "tRNA". From Rfam's summary of the family: Transfer RNA (tRNA) molecules are approximately 80 nucleotides in length. The record is from RNAcentral.
GCACGCUUAGCUCAGUUGGUAGAGCGCCCGCCUGAUACGCGGAAGGUCCUAGGUUCGAGCCCUAGAGCGUGCACAA